Camelus ferus (Wild Bactrian camel) is the source of this 73-nucleotide non-coding RNA. The record is from Rfam. NCBI's taxonomy places the organism in Eukaryota, Metazoa, Chordata, Mammalia, Artiodactyla, Camelidae.
GGAGGGUACUGCUCAGUGGUAGAGUGUGUCCUUAGCAUGCACGAGGUUCUGGGUUCAAUCCCCAGCACCUCCA